RNAcentral lists this signal recognition particle RNA (265 nucleotides) under Peptococcaceae bacterium. Its description in RNAcentral is "signal recognition particle sRNA large type". It matches the Rfam family "Bacterial large signal recognition particle RNA". From Rfam's summary of the family: The signal recognition particle (SRP) is a universally conserved ribonucleoprotein involved in the co-translational targeting of proteins to membranes. The record is from RNAcentral. Lineage: Bacteria; Bacillati; Bacillota; Clostridia; Eubacteriales; Peptococcaceae.
CCGUACUAGAUGGGGAGGCAGCGGCGCCCUGUACCCGCAAUCCGCUAUAGCGGGAUCGAAUUCCUGUCCUCGGAUUAACUUUGUGGGGUCCGGCUUUGAUAAGCGGCGUUGAUGGCCGGGUCCCGCGCAACGAAGCUUUGUGAACCCUGUCAGAUCCGGAAGGAAGCAGCAGUAAGCGAAUCCUUUCGUGUGCCGCGGGGGCGCCUGGCUUGAGCUGGCUGUCAAGGUAACGCCCGGAAAGUUAUUUUCAAAGACAGGUGUACGG